This 42535-nucleotide long non-coding RNA is filed under the name Citrus x clementina. RNAcentral's name for it is "Citrus clementina (C. clementina) long non-coding RNA (CCLE_LNC001464)". The record is from RNAcentral. Lineage: Eukaryota; Viridiplantae; Streptophyta; Magnoliopsida; Sapindales; Rutaceae.
UUCAAGUCAUUAGAAAAUAAAUUUUCUUUCUAUUUAGAGACAAUUGUUAACAGUGAUACAUGGUUUCUGUCAAGAUCCAUUUAGGAAUAAAGUCGAGCAAAAUGAAUUCUUUUAGAGAUCACAGCAAACAGGCUUUAAAUCCCUUCUCUAAUUCCUGUCCAUUCAAGUUCUUUCCGAUGAACAUAAUCUUGUUUACUCUUGGUUCGUCUGGGCCCCACAUCCGAUCAGGCGAGCCUUGGAAUAUGUCAUGAACACCCUGUCAGACAGCAAACCAUGAUCAACUGAGAACAGAUAAACUUGAUCAGGAAAUUAUUAUAAUAAUGCUGAACGAAUGGGUCAAUUCUCAUAACAGCCUUUCGAAAGAACUUUAUUGCUUACCUGAAAGACAAAUCGCUCAUCCAUACCCCGAACAGACAGAAGGCCUUUCAUCCGAUAUAUGUCUUCGCUACGUUCCAUCAACAAUGUUCCCAGCCACAUGUUAGCCUGAACAAUAAGGUAUCGCACGUCAACCUUGUACUGAGUUUCUGACGGUUUCAAGCUUAAAAAACAUUCAUAAUUGAGAAAAUGGGUCUUUUAAGGAACUACUGAGAAGAAAGAACUACUCAUGUCACUUAGAAAGAAAUGACAUGCAUCCGGAGACUUUAACCAUGUGAAACCAACCUUAUCAAGAUCUAAAUUCCCUUCACAAACUAUGCUGACAGAUGAGACACCACGAUCAUGUGUGUGAUCAUGUGAAUGGUGAUCAUGAUGAUGUUCUGCAUAUUAGCAACCAGAAGAACUAAUGUUAGUACAUAAUAUUGAUAAUGAUAUGAGAAGAAAAUUAGACUCUCAUUCCAGCCAAAGACUAGGACACUAAAAGAAAUGGGCAAUCUAUUCCAAAACAAGUCCUCCAUGCGUCAGUGAAGGAAUAAAUUCUAGUACGCAAGAAAUUGGAAAGUUCCCACUAAUAGAUUUAUGGAAAAUCACGUGCAUUAAUCUGAAGGGCACCAAGCGAUCACCAAGUAGCCUAGCACAACAAACAACAGAAUACACGCCAUUGCCCACAUGAAACAUAGAAUAUAUAAAGAAAACAAAAUACAGCAUACAAGAUGAGGCAUCUAUAACUAUUUUUAAAACUGUACCAUGCUCGGGGUCAUGUUCAUGAUGAUGAUGAUGAUGACCGUGAUUGUGAUCAUGAUCAUGGCGGUCAUGUGCAGCAUCAUCUUCCUUUGCAUCGACAGCACUCUCUAUCCUGGCAAGUACUAGGAAAUGUUAGACCACAACCUCAGAAUCAAAAAUAAAUCAGGAGAUGGACAACCAGAAAAAAUAGCUGCAAGUUACAAGCAUCUCAAGUUGACAAUAAAUUAACAAAGUACCCUAUCUUUUCAUUGGAUAUUUUAUGUCCCGUAUUUUGUUAAUUUUAAUUAGCAUGUGGAAUGUACCCUAUCAAGGUCAUCACUUACUAGCUAAUUGACUCUGAAUAUUUGACAGAAAAACAUCAACGUAAGCUUGUAGUCACACCAGAAGGCAAGAAAAAAUGUUCCCUCUGGCUAAAACUAAUCACCUGGAAAGAGUGUCUAUCUAAUUCAAGAGACAAUCCAAACUAAUUCACCUUUGGUCCUGAUGCCAGAAGAUGCCACAAAAAUAAAAUCAACAAAGCACUCAUUUAAUAACCUGUGACUACAUGUUAGUCUAGCAUGACCCUUGAAAAUCCCUUAAGGGCCCAUAUUUUGAAUUCCCUUCCAAAGUGUGAAGGCUGCAGCUAGGAUCUAUAUCAGUGCAGCCAACAAGCACCAAUUAGAAUUCUCUAUGAUGCAAAGAUAAACAUAAUGAGAAUGAGUCCUCAACAUUAACCAGUGACAAGCAUGGGUCACAAGCAAUAUGGGAAUUAUCAAGUAAAGAUCUUUGUCAAGCUUCCAAUUACAUGUUAAUUAAAAGAAAAGCCAAUGAAAGAAAAAAAUUAUAUUCACAAGAAACAUCCAAAUGUAACAACAGCUAUGCAACAAACAAUAUUAAACCGCCUAAAUGACUUAAUCCAGAUUCGGAGGCAAAUCAGAAACAUGCUCUUAUGUGAAGACGACUCCAAUGUAAACUCAGAAACAAGAGAAUCAAUGAGAAAAACUAACCUCUCUGGAUCAAAGCCUCCAAUUCCAAGAACAUAAUCCAAGUCAACUUUUCCAAACUCCAUUCGCUUCAUAUGAGCCAUCCUAUUUAUGUUCUCCAUUCACCCAAACCAGCUUCAACAGAAUAAUCAAAACGAACUAGAACAAUAAGAGAACUAUGAUGCAUUUUAGUCAAGGCAAGCAGAACUCAGACCUUUAUUCUCUCGACCAAUGAAGCAACUUGUGGCCCACCAACAAGAUCAGUCUGAUAAUAACAUGAAUAAGCAUAUUAGUUGGGCAAUAGAACAAAUCUGACACGUAAAAUAGAAUAUUCUAUCACACCCUAGAUGCCAGAGUAAAUAACACACAAAAUAAUUAUUGAUUGCAAUUAAAACCACAUCAGAAACAUAAGGAAGCUCUUCUCUUCUGAAAAGAAUCAGAAGCCCAAAUGUUUCAUUUCUAAGACAUCAAUCUGGGAGAAUUUAUCAAUGAACUUGGCCACAUGCGCAGAACAACCACAGGAUGCCUCUGGCAGCCACAGCUGGCCUCCUAUGGAAUGAGCAUUACAUGAAGAAACAAGUCCCUUGAUAUACCUUAUUUACUAUAAUACGGUCUGCAUAUGCAAUUUGCUCUACUGCCUCAUUGACAACUCCUUUUGGCUUAACCUCAUCCAAAUGAAAACCAGCAUGCUUAGCAUCAACCAAAGUGACAACACCAUCCAACUUCACUUCAUUAAAAAUCGCAUCCUCAGCAUAAAACGUCUGAAUGAUUGGUGCCGGAUUAGCCAAUCCCGAAAAAUAAAAUUUCAAAUUCACAAGAAGUCGAAACAACUCAAAACUCCCAACUGAUUCAGUUGACCCAAACAAAGUCUUAUCACAUAACUAUAGCAGAGCCUGUGUGUUAACAAAAAUCAUACCUGCAGUUUCAAUCACAAUAUGGUCGAAUUUCCCUUUCUUUUUACUGACUAAUUCUGAAAUCAUCCUCACAAGAUCACCUCUUACUGUGCAGCACAAACAACCAUUGUUAAGCAUAAUUAUGUCCUCAGCCCCAGUAGUUUUAGCAGCAACUAACGACCCAUCAAUGUCCACUUCACCAUACUGCAAUUUCAACAUAAAAGACCAUAACUUAUCCAUCAAUAAACGUAUCCCACUUAAGCAAAUCCUACCAACAAAUUCAAUAAUGUCAAAAACUCAAGUUCACACCUCGUUCUCAAUCACGGCUAUGCGCUUCCCGUGAUCUGCAGUCAAGAUAUGGUUGAGCAAUGUCGUCUGUUAGUCCCAUCCACCCACACAAGCUUUGUUAGCCUCCAAAAAUUUGAAAAAGAAAUACCAUAAAAUGAAAAAUUGAAAGACAAAUACAUUAUGGUGGGAAAAAUUGUACCUUUCCAGAACCCAAAAAGCCGGUGAUUAUGCUGGCGGGACUUCUGUUAUCGGGUGGAAUCUUUGUCAACAAGUCAGAGUCCUCGCUGGCAGAAGCAGAGACCGUGAACCGGCGGUAGGGUCUGGGGACUCUGAAGGCGAUGAAUUUGGAGUGAGAUGAGGACGCCGUCGUUUUGCAGGAUAAGUUUCGGGCUCUGGGUUUGAAGAGGACGGGGAGGACAGUUGUUCGGAUUUUAGCAAAUGGGUUUUGUGGGCGACUGGUGAAGGAGAGGAAGGUGGUGGCCAUUUCUGUUGCGAGUGAAGAAGCCAUUUUUGUUUUCACUGCGGCCCGUGUUUUGGAAUUGGAUAAUGGAGUUUUUCGCUGGGGGUUUUAGAUAUUUCAGAGAGUGAGGGACACGAAUCAAUUGAAUUGUAAUAUUUCGCCUGUUUAAUGUUCCAGAUUGUUCCGUCGUUUUAUGUGCCAUGUAUCUUCCAUUGAAGAGUUGAGGAUUUAAAAAAUAAUAAUAAUUUAUAAAUCUUUUACAUAUGAAUAAUGAGAAAUGAUCUGCUUUGCAAAAGCGUUACAUAACAUUAUUGAAGCAAUUCAAAAAUUAAAUAUUAUUUAUAAUGAGUCAUCACUAGAUCAAGUUCUACUCUGUGUAUGCAUGUACUUAAAUAUUAUUUACCCAAAUAUUAUAGAUAAAUUAUAAUAAAAUCUUUAUAAAUUCAUAGUAUUGGGAAGAAAUUUAUUAUUAUAUGGAAUAUAUUUAUAUUCUAAUGAUAGGCGUUUAAUCAAUUAAAAAAUUAAUUGAAUAUAAAUUAAUUCACUAAAUAAACACUAUAUUAAACAAAAAAUAUAUAUAUUUAAAAUUAUUGCAUUUGAGAAAUUAGACAUGAGAUCCAAUUGUAUUAAAUUAAAGAAAAAAUAACAACUGAGUUAUAUCUAAUUUAAUAAAAUGUUAUGAUUAUUAAAUCUGUAAUUUUAGGUGUAAUAAACAUAAUGACAAAAUGACUAAUGUUUUAACUGGACGGCAUGAAAUAGGUUUUUAAUUGACAGAAAAAAAUAAAAAAAAUAAUUUUGUUCUAAUCUUAUUCUUAUAUUUUUAUUGAUGGACCCUUUCGGCCUAAGCCUAACAGAUGUCAUCAGGCCAAUACUCAUCUCAAUUACCCAAUUUUGGUAUUUUUUAUAAAAUUAUAAAUACACAUAUAAAAUAUAUUUUUUCCUUUUUUAUUUAUAUAGUAAGUAGCUAGAUUGCAAAGUGCACAUUCUAAAAUUUUUGUCUCUAAAUUUGUCUUCCCAAGUCGGACAACCAGCAGUAAGUUCUCUAAAUAAAGGUUAGGAUGUUUUUGUAUUUUCUUUUAAGUUUUUUAUUUAUGAUUAAAUCGUAUGUAAAUUUAUUAUUAUUAUUUGCUUAAAUAACAUAAUGAGAUAGGAGAAAUCAGUUAUAUUUUUUAGAUGUGAAAAAAAGUUGAGUUUUUUUAUUUUUUUAUUUUUUGAUGUAGGGAUAAAUUGUUUUGCCCAAGCACAAGAAAAUAUUUUUUUCCCCCAUUUUAUGUUAUCGAAGUUGAAUGAUAUAAUAGCAUUUUUUAAAUAGUUUGAUUUAAUUCAUUAUUUUCAUGAAUUUAAAAUAAUGCCAGUAUUUGAGUAGAAUAAUAUUUUACAAAUUUCAUGAAAUAAAUUCUUUCAGAGAUCAAUUCUCUUUUCUUCAGAAAGGAGACGCAUUCUUGAUAAUUUUAAAACCCUAAAACAUGAUUAAUUUCAUAAACAAAAAAUGUUUUCUGUUAUAUUUAUUAUUAUCUCACGUCGAACUUAGGACAUGAGAUCCAAUAAAACUACUCUUUAAUACUAGAGCAUUUAAUGAUCCCUGUAGCUGUAGGAAAACAAUAAAUCAAUUUCCAUAAAUAAAUCUUGUAAGACUAUAAUAAUGAUGUUCUUCUGCUAGAAUCCCCAAGACUUGUGACAUAAGUACAUGGUAAUUGUAUUUAUUAGUUUCCUUGCUAAACUUGGGCUUCGUACUAUAUAUUUAGUUUAUAUAAUUAUUAAAUUUCAUAUUUGUUUGAUUUUCAUAAAUUAGAGAGGACGAAGCAGUAUGAUGAAGAGGCAGCAGCUAAUUUCGGAUUCAUCAAUUUGAAUGAUGUUUGAUGAGAUUAUUACGUGGACUUGGACUUGCAAUUGGAUUCGUUUGCGAGUGUUUGUCUCUUUUUUCGUUGUUGUGACCGGGCUGUUAGAGGUUUAUUUUGUACAACUCAUGCUAUCCCUUUUUAAGAAUUUUAAGGCAUGUUCAACAUUAUUUUUAGAGUGGUGUUUUCAUUUUUGUUUUGAGUGUACAUAUAUAAUAUAUAUUUGAUAGAUUAAAUUUAAAAAAUAAAUUAUAAAACAAAUAAUUCAAAUUUCACUUUAUAGUUAUAAAACUGAAAACAUAUUAAACACGUUCUCAAUGAAUCAUAAUCCAAAAUCCUGAAUAAGAGAGGAGUAAGCAUUCUGAUGACUGUUAUUUGUCAUCAGGAUCUUAGUGGUGUAUCGACUAUCAACUUCAACUUGUAGACAGCUCUAGAUUUACAAUUCAAUUGCCGAAAAAUUCAAUCACAUGUGGAGGAAAUUGAAAAGUGGGAUCAUACCAUGGACUUGGAAAUUUUGUACAUACCCUUGAUUUGGAGUUUUUGCGCAGCAAUAUGAAUUGAGAGCAUGAUGAUCACUUUGUUAACAUGCAUAAUGACUUGAUUCGUACCCUCAUAUUCGAGUCUUUCUUCCAGAAGUCUCAUAGAAGUUUAAUCUAAAUUGAAAAGAGAACAAUCUAGUAUAUAAUAAAAUGAAAUAUAAUUUUUUUCAUUAAACUUGUGAAAAUUUAUGAACUUAAUACUGCAUUAACACCACCAGCAACACCUACAGAAGGAGAAGAAGAAGAAGACAAUUCUGUGAUUGAAAUGGUGGCAUUAAGAUGGAGUUUUGGAGCAUCCUAUGUGAUUGUGAUUUUGGGUUUAUCUGCAGUCCUUUGGAGAAACUCACAUUGGCGCAGACUGUGGUUCUUUUUCAUUGAUAGAUGCAUUGACAUAUGCCACUAUUGUCUUUUCAAAUAUGUACUCUUAUCGGUGAUUGUGCUUAGGUGCUUUUCUGCAAAUCUAGUUCAUAAAUGUGUGUUAAUUCUGUUUGGUUCUAAUACCGUACUGUACCUGCUGUAUUUUAAUGGCUAUUAACAAGAAAUUAAUCAACACACACAGUCUUGACCGAUUACAGACAGAAUGGAACCAAUAACAAGGAAAGAUUCAACAAAAUAAGAACUCAGAAAAGUAUUCACAGUGAACAAGCCUCCAAGUUUUUGAAGGAAAAAGAACAAGCUCCUAUUACUCAAAUGCUUUACAAUCAGAUCAAUUGUUUUGAGGACACUUCAAGAAUUCCAAAGAAUCUCGAAUCACACGUUUUGGCUAAGAAACAAAAGAGAAAUCACACACACAAGGCACUGCACAGCAGCCCCUUUUAUCUUCUGGAAAUUUUCCAGAAACAGCUUAACAAACUUUAACGGUUCUGCCACAUCAGCGCAAAAUUUACAAAUUGACCCCUCAUCUGAAGUCGUUCUGCAUAAUUCCCCAUAAACUUUCACUCGAUUUCAUUUUAGUCCAAAAACAGUAUUCAUGUCUUCACAGUACCCAAUAUUUUCCCCGUAUUUCUAGUGAUUUCACUAAAAUUAUGCAAAUAUUUUCUUCACCUUUUGUCGGUCACAAAUCUAGAUUUUGAUUAAUUUCAUGACUUUUUGUGGUUCCACCAAGAGGCAUGUGUUGAUUAAUGAAGUUUAUAAAUUAUUUCUACUUAAUUCGAGGGGCAAGGGGAAGUUAAUUAGAUCAUAAAUAACCAGCAGGAUAACUCACACUAGCUACCAUUAAUUCAUAGAUAACUAGUGAUAAAUUCAAAAACCUUCUCUUAAUUAGGAAUGACAAAAAAGUCUGGGCCAAUAUGACCCAUUCCUAGGGGCUUCGGCCUGGGCCUCCAUAUGAAGUGUUUAGACAAGGACUUAAGGGAAAAAAAAAAAAAGCUCAAAUCAAGCUCAAACCUUCUAUUUAAAAUAAAUAAAUUAUAAAUUAGAAUAGUAAAUUAAAAUUUCAAAAUAAUUAAAAAAGACUUAAAUUUUUAAUUUAUAUAUUAAUAACGAAUCAGAAAAUCUAGAAUUAUAAUAUUUAAUUCUCUUUUAAGUGUUAAUUAAUUAAGAGGGUGUUUGAAUUAGAGAAUCUAGUGUUAAAAAAUUAAAUUUCUAAGCUUUUAUUUGCUUAUUUUUUAUUUUAUUUAGAAAUAUUCAUUUUCUUUAAUUCACUAUCUAUUAUAACAAUUUAUUAACUAUUAACUUAUUUCAAAUUUACAACGAUUUCAAAAAAUAUUAAAAAAAUAAGUGAAAACCCAAGCCUGGCCCUUAUACUUUCCCUCUAAUGGGUUUGAGCUUAGAUUUGAAAAAGCUCGAUCCAAACCCGCAUUUUGCCAUCUCUACUCCUAGUCAACUUGGAUCAUUUUUCUUUAAGAUACUGUUUGAUCUUUGCGACAAGGAUCGAAACAAAGAUGAGGACAAAGAUUAUUAAUUACCGAGAGUGAUUGUCUCAAUUUUUUAAAGACCGAGUGAUUGUCCAAUUUAUUCAAUCAUUAGAGAGACUUAUUGUCAAUCAAAAAGAUCGAUUGACACAAAGAUUGAUUGUCUUUUUUUAUUUUGAUUUUUUUUGAGAAUAUCAAUGCUUGAAUGUAUUAUUUGAUAUAUAAUUUAUUGUAAACCCAAUCACACUCUUGAGUUAUUUUUAUAAAUUCUCAAUAUAGGUCUCUGAUUCUAAUUCAAGCUUUGAUUCAAAUUAAUGCAAGGAUACAAAGGGACUCAAGAGCUUCAGUUCUCGUUUAUGUGCUAUUAUUUUAGCGUACACCAUAAAGUUAUUAGUUGAUUAUUAUUUGUCACACAUUUCAAAAAAUCAAACAUCCUAUCGAAUUAUUAAUUCCAAAGCAUGUUAUUGAAGAAUCAGUAUUGGAAAAAAAUUAUUUGAUAAUUUCAAACCCGAACUUACGCUUUAAUCCUUUAGAUUACCUCAAUUAACUUUUAUUUUAUUAGUUGACUAUCUCCGUCACAUGUUGGCAAAAAUAGAAUUGACGACAUAUGUUGCCUUAAUUUGAAAGUCAGUCAACAUGCAUUUUUCUGCGGAGAUAUUGCAAAUAUCUCGAACUUAUGCAUUAUUAAUUCAGUCAACAUGCAUGCAUUUGAAAGUCAGUCAACAUGCAUUAUUAAUUCACCGUUGAAUCCUUCUCUUUAAUAUAAUGACAAAUUCCAUCUACUACUAGAACCGUAGAGUUGUUAGAUAAAAAGUCAGUCAACUUUUAUUUUCCUCAAUGGUCGAACUUAUGUGUUUGUCAUUUGAGUGCGCGGAUCAUUUUUAUGAGAAAUUUACUGUACAUGUUUGAAAAUUUAGUUGAUUAUUGUGUUUUUUUUCAUAUCAAACAUCCAAUCAUAUUAUUUUCGAAACACAUUAUUACUUCCUUUUGAUUUCUUUAAAGUUGUCUUAUUAUAUUGAUUUUGAUUUUCUUUUUUGGCCAUUUGACUAUAUUGUCCAUGUAAAAAAAGUCUUUCACUAUUUUAUUGACCUUAAAAGUUUUAGAAUUAAUUUGUGGAUGCUCUAAACUAUAUUUACGGGAUUGGCCAUUUGACUCUUAUCAGUUGCUUGUAAUAAAUCCUUUUCAAUUCAAUUGUCGAAAAAUUCCACCGCGUGAUGGAGAAAAUUGAAUUGUGUGAUCAUACUGUGGACUUGCAAUGCUUUAUACUUACCAUUUAAAUCGAGAGCAUGACUUUGUUGACAUGCUUGAAUGACUUGGUUGAGUUCGUACCCUUAUAUUCGAGACGUUUGUUCAAAAGUCUCAUCAAAUUUUUAAAUCAAUUUGAAGAGACAACAAUUUAAUAGAUAAUAAAAUGAAAUAUAAUUUUUUUUCUUUGAAUUUAUGUAAAUUUAUGAGCAAUGCCUUGUUUGUCACAUACUCACAUAGCAUCUAUUCUAAAAAAAAAAAAAAUAAUAAUAAUAAUAAUAAUAGUUGCAUUAGUGUUAUAAUUUGACUAGAUUAAUAAUUAAAUAAGGGCAUAUUUGGUUGAUGUAUUAUAACUCCUCAUUACAUUAAAUUUAUACAAGCCCAUGUUUGGUAAACUAAAAGCUACAGAAACACUGCAUAAUAGGUCAAUCUAAUGCGGCAAACUAAACCCGACUCACAUAGUCUUGCUUAACUUUGAAAAUAGUAGUUCACCACUGAACCAAAGCUCAAAUGACAAAAAACUCAAAUUUUAAUUGAAGAUAAAUUGAUUACUAGACACACCAAUUAAUUCCACUGAGAAAAAACAAACCUACUCUAUUCCACUAUCUUGGCUCUCAUACUACAUCACAAAGACUAUUAAAUAACCGAGAGUGAUUAUCCCAAUAUUUGUUAAUCACUAGAAAGAUUCAUUGCCAAUCAAUAAGACCAACUGACGCAAAGAUUGAUUGUCCAUUUUCAUUUUUUUUUGGGACAAUAUCAACGCUUGAAUGUAUUACUUAAUGUAUAAUUCAAUGCAAGCCCAGUCAUACUCUUUAAGUUAUUUAUAUAAAUUCUCAUUAUCAGCCUUUGAUUUUAAUUUAGAGCUUUGAUUCACAUUAAUGCAAGGAUACAACAAGACUGAAGAGCUUCAGAUAUCGUUUAUGUCUUGUUAUUUCAAUGUAAACCACAAUUUUAUGAGUAAUUUACUCAAAUGUUUAAGCAGGUACGAAAUUAAUUUAUUAUUGAUUUUCACAAGUUUCACAAUAUAUCAAACAUCCUAUCGAAUUAUUAAUUCCAAAGUACGUGAUUUAGGAAUCAAUACUAGAAAAAAUUAUUUGAUAAUUUCAAACCUAAACUUUCGCGUCGAUUCUCUAAAGUAUCUCAAUCAACUUUUAUUUUAUUGGUUAACUAUCUCAUCACCUGCUGGAAAAAAUAGAAUAUACAACCACUUGUGUGUUGGCUUAAAUUCAAAAGUCAGUCAACAUUUAUUUUUCACAGUAUUAAUGAAGCAUUUUUCAUCCUCAUUGGUUCAAGUUUUACAAGUCUUCGUUAGUCAUUAUAGAGGCCAAACUAAGGCUAUGUUUGGUACAGCUUUUCAAGUAAAACUUAUUUAAGUAAAGCUUUUGUCAGUAGAGCUUUUACAAAUAGAGUUUUUACCUAAAAAAAUUUAGUUGUUUGGUUAUCAAUAAGUGUUUUUAUUAAAAAUCUAUAAAAUUAAUUUAAUAGACAAUUUUUUUAAGUUACGUUAUGAAAAGAAUAAAAUAAAAUUUUUAAAUAAGUAGAGGAUAUUUUGAAUAUUUUAACAUUUAAAAAAAGUUUUUCAACCUCUACUCCCAAAAGCCCAAAAUUUGAGUUUUUACUAGUAGAGGCAAAAUAACUUAUUUAAGAUUUAAAAGCUUUACUAAAAAAAUAACCAAACAAAAAUAAAAAUUAUGAUAAAGGGAUUAAAUAAGCAUUUAUGGCCAUUAGAUAAAUUAUACCAAACAGGUACUAAUUAUCUUAAUAUAUGUCUAUCACUAUAAAGAUCGAUUGUCCAGUAGCAUUAAGAUUGAUUGAAUCAAUCUUUGAAAAUCAAUCAAAUUUACAAUUAUAAUAAUUGUAACAUUUUUUUCAUUAAUUUUUAAUUUUUGUAUAAAUUGAGCUUUUAUGCCCAUGAUUAGUGAAUUGAUAUAGUGAAAAAAUUGAUUUUGGUUUACGUGUAUAAUAUUUGAACAAACUUCAAGUCUUGAGCUAUAUAACACUUAAAUAUGAGUUAGGUCCACAUAUUAUUCUACUUGCCCUUCUAGUGGGAAAUAUUAAUUUACCACACAGAGUUUUAAUGGACUUAUCAUUCAUAGGUUUUAGUAGUCACCGUGGUUUGGCACUUUAACUCAAUGAUUAAAUGUUGUAAUAUAUAUGUAUUUAUAUAUAAAAUUCGUCGUAUUUAAAUUGCACCUCUCCAUAUGUUGUGCAUCAUAAAAGAUGUCAUGUUAAUGUAAUCCACACUUUUAUGAGUAAAUUAAGAAAUAUAAAGGGAAAAUUAACUGAUUAAUUAUUGAUCAUCUAAUAAUAAAAACCAAUUUACCAAAAAUCUAUUAAAAUAAUUUUCAAAACUCAUUAAAUAUUUGAGAAUAUCAAACAUCAAUGCUUGAAUAGAUUGUUGAGGCGAAGGCUUAACUCGAGUGGUAAGAGCAUUGCUUGCCUAAGGCCAAGGUCUUGAGUUCGAGUCUCAUUAGAGGAGAAUGAGGUGAAAUCUAGUGAUCCUCUUUAAAAAAAAAAUGCUCGAAUAGAUUGUUUGAAAAUUCGGUGCAAACCUAAUCAUACAAUUCAACCCAAUUAUGCUCUCAAAUUAUAUAAAUUCUUAGUCAACUUUUAUUUUAUAGUAUUGACAAUCUCCAGUAAUUGAUAGUAGGGGUGGACAAAAUAUCCGACCCGAUCCAAUCCGAAAAAUAUUGGGUUUAGAUAAGAUCGGGUUGUUACUGAAACCCGAUCGGAUGAAUUCUUCUUAACCCGAUCUAAUCCGAAACCUGAUUGGAUUGCUUUAGAAUUAAAAAUAAAUAAAAAAUAAACCUAAACGGCAAACACUAACCUAACACACACACACCACACAACAUAUUACAUGGCACAUUAUACAAUACGCACACAACGCUCACAACCUCACACUCAUAGCUCAAGCCUCACAAAACUCAAAACACGUCGCCGACAGCCACAACCACAACCAUCUCCCUCCCACAAGAACACUCUUCACGCCCCUCAGGGUCACGGUUUCAUGCACACAGCACACACACACGCACACGGCGCACACGCAUCUCAAGAAGUCAAGCACUGUCUUCACGGAUCACAGUCACAGUCACUGCUGAACACUGUGCUGCUGCGUGUCCGCGAGAUCUGUGCUCCAUGUUGCCGGAUAUGUCCAAGCUCCAAACAAUCUGGCAACUGCUGCAUGUGCAACUCGAUUCCAGUACCCGACCUGAGUUUCCCUUUCUGAACCUGAUCUUAUCUGAAUUCAAUCCGAUUUUUUUUAUCUAAUCAGAUUGGGUUAUAAAUUCGAGUUGCAUUUGAAUUAAUUAAUGUCCAACUCGAUCUGAAUCCGAUUUUGCCCACCCCUAAAUUAUUCAUUUGAUAGAAGAAAAGGAAUUGAUGGCCUUGUUUCUUGGCUUAAAUUGAAAGUCAGUCAACUUCAAUUUUCCCAUAGUUGUAAUAAUAUAUGAAAAAUAGGUUAGAGUCAGAUGUCGUUUAUGUGUCAUUAUAUCAGUGUCCACCACAAAUUUAUGAGUAAUUUAUUAAAAUGUCUAAACAUUUAUAAAAAAAUAGUUGAUUAUUGAUUUUCAAAAAUUUCAAUAUAUUAAAUAUCCUAUUGAAUUAUUAAUUCCAGAGCACUCUUUUAAGUAUCAAUAGUGGAAUAAAUUAUUUGAUAAUUUCAAAUCCAAACUUAUGCCUAAAUUCUUUAAAUUAUCUCAAUCAACUUUUAUUUUAUUAGUUGACUAUCUCCAUCAAUUGUUGUACAAAAUAGAAUUGACGGCCAUUUGUAUGUCGGCUUAAUUUGAAAGUCACUCAACAUUUAUUUUCCAUGGAGUAUUAACGAAGCGUUUUUCCUCAUUGGUCCAGGUCCUACAAGUCUUUGUUAGUCAUUAUAGAGACCAAAACUAAUUAUCUUUAUAUGCGCCAAUUGCUAUAAAGAUUGAUUUUGAAUUAAUAUUAAGAUCGAUUGUCCAGUAACAAUAAGAUUGAUUGAAUCAAUCUUUAAAAAUCAAUCAAAUUUCCAAUUAUAAUAAUUGUGACAUUUUUUCUUAAAUUCGUAAUUUUUGUAUAAAUUGAGUUUUUAUGCUCAUGAUCGGUGAAGUAAUAGAGCGAAAAAAUUGAUAUUGGUAGAAAAUAUUAAUUAAGCAUACAUUGGGUUUCGAUUGACUAAUCAUUCACAGGUUUUGGUGGUCAUCAUGAUUGGCGCUUUAACACAAUGAUUGAAUGCUGCAAUAUAUAAGUAUUCAUAUAUAAAAUUAAGCCUGUUUAAAUUGCACCUCUACAUAUGUCAUACAUCAUAUAAAAUGUCAUUUGGAUGUAGUCCACACUUUUACAAGUAAAUUAUCAAAUAUAUAUGGAAAAUUACUUGAUUAAUUAUUAAUCAUCUAAUAGUAAAAAAAAUUUACCAAAAAUCUAAUAAAAUAAUUUUCGAAACUCACUAAAUAUUUUAGAAUAUCAAUCCUUGAAUAGAUUAUUUGAUAAUUCAGUGCAAACCGAAUCAUAUUCAUACAAUUCAAUAAAAGCCUAAUCAUACUCUUAAAUUACAUAAACUUUUAGUCAACUUUUAUUUUAUAGUGUUGACCGCAACCUAAUUUAAUGCCAUAUCCCAUAUUAGUAUUCAAUCUUUGUUUAGUGCAUUUUAGCUUCUUCAAACUCCAUAAACAUUAAAUAUUUAAGAUUUGUGGCAUAAUUAUUUCUNNNNNNNNNNNNNNNNNNNNNNNNNNNNNNNNNNNNNNNNNNNNNNNNNNNNNNNNNNNNNNNNNNNNNNNNNNNNNNNNNNNNNNNNNNNNNNNNNNNNNNNNNNNNNNNNNNNNNNNNNNNNNNNNNNNNNNNNNNNNNNNNNNNNNNNNNNNNNNNNNNNNNNNNNNNNNNNNNNNNNNNNNNNNNNNNNNNNNNNNNNNNNNNNNNNNNNNNNNNNNNNNNNNNNNNNNNNNNNNNNNNNNNNNNNNNNNNNNNNNNNNNNNNNNNNNNNNNNNNNNNNNNNNNNNNNNNNNNNNNNNNNNNNNNNNNNNNNNNNNNNNNNNNNNNNNNNNNNNNNNNNNNNNNNNNNNNNNNNNNNNNNNNNNNNNNNNNNNNNNNNNNNNNNNNNNNNNNNNNNNNNNNNNNNNNNNNNNNNNNNNNNNNNNNNNNNNNNNNNNNNNNNNNNNNNNNNNNNNNNNNNNNNNNNNNNNNNNNNNNNNNNNNNNNNNNNNNNNNNNNNNNNNNNNNNNNNNNNNNNNNNNNNNNNNNNNNNNNNNNNNNNNNNNNNNNNNNNNNNNNNNNNNNNNNNNNNNNNNNNNNNNNNNNNNNNNNNNNNNNNNNNNNNNNNNNNNNNNNNNNNNNNNNNNNNNNNNNNNNNNNNNNNNNNNNNNNNNNNNNNNNNNNNNNNNNNNNNNNNNNNNNNNNNNNNNNNNNNNNNNNNNNNNNNNNNNNNNNNNNNNNNNNNNNNNNNNNNNNNNNNNNNNNNNNNNNNNNNNNNNNNNNNNNNNNNNNNNNNNNNNNNNNNNNNNNNNNNNNNNNNNNNNNNNNNNNNNNNNNNNNNNNNNNNNNNNNNNNNNNNNNNNNNNNNNNNNNNNNNNNNNNNNNNNNNNNNNNNNNNNNNNNNNNNNNNNNNNNNNNNNNNNNNNNNNNNNNNNNNNNNNNNNNNNNNNNNNNNNNNNNNNNAGGGUUAGAUUUUGUAAAAUGUAGGAGUCUGUUAAUACUAAGAAGAAUGGAAAGUUGAUUAGUGUGAAUAUAAUUUUUAUUGAUGAAAAGGUUGUGUACACUUAACUAUACACAUUAAUAUAUAUUUUUAAAGUUAACAAAAAAAUAAUUAACUUUCAUAGAGCGGAAAAAUUGAUAUGGGGUAGAAAAUAUUAAUUAAGCAUACAUUGGGUUUCGAUUGACUAAUCAUUCACAGGUUUUGGUGGUCAUCAUGAUUGGCGCUUUAACACAAUGAUUGAAUGCUGCAAUAUAUAAGUAUUCAUAUAUAAAAUUAAGCCUGUUUAAAUUGCACCUCUACAUAUGUCAUACAUCAUAUAAAAUGUCAUUUGGAUGUAGUCCACACUUUUACAAGUAAAUUAUCAAAUAUAUAUGGAAAAUUACUUGAUUAAUUAUUAAUCAUCUAAUAGUAAAAAAAAUUUACCAAAAAUCUAAUAAAAUAAUUUUCGAAACUCACUAAAUAUUUUAGAAUAUCAAUCCUUGAAUAGAUUAUUUGAUAAUUCAGUGCAAACCGAAUCAUAUUCAUACAAUUCAAUAAAAGCCUAAUCAUACUCUUAAAUUACAUAAACUUUUAGUCAACUUUUAUUUUAUAGUGUUGACCGUCUCCACUAAUGGUUAGCGGAUAAAGAAUUGAUGGCCACUUGUUUGCAGGCUUAAUUUGAAAGUCAGCCAACUUUAAUUUCCCACGUGGUUGUAAUAAUAUAUGGAAAAUUAGAUAGGGUCAUUUAAAUUGAACCCGUACAGCUGUCCUAAGUUUAUAUGAAAUUUAUGUUUUUGUCAUUUCAAGUGAUUGUAAUAGGAGUCAAGCUGCAGAUUGAGAGCAAUGGAAACUUUCCUCGUUAAGGAUUCUCAAUAUCUUUGAUUUUAGUAGAGCUUUGAUUCAAAUGCAUGAAGACAAAGAGUCACAAGAGCUUCAAAUAACUUUGAUGUGUUUAGUCAUUUAAGACUGCGCCACAAUUUUAUGAGUAAUUAAACUAAACAUGUAUGAAAAUUUAGGUUGAUUAAUUAUUGAUUUUCUAAUAAAUUAAUUUAAACUUAUCAAACAUCCAAUCAAAUUCUUCUCAAAACACAUUAUUUAAUCGAUUGACUGAAAAUGCAAUGGAAAUCCAAACAAACGGUUAAAUUAUUUAAAUUCUCUCAGUCAACUUUUAUUUUAUUAGUUAUGAUUAUCUCCAUCAAACUAUUGAAAAAAUUUAUAGUUUACAAUCACUUUAUCUAUAUUUUCCACGGGGUAUUAAUGAAGUGCUUUUUCCCGUUGGUCAAAUGUUGCAAAACAUGGAAUGCUUACAAGUCUUCAAAGAUGGCGAUGUAUUGGAAAGUCUUAAAAAAGUCUUCAGCCAAUCAAAUUGCAAGACCUGCGAUAAACUUUUAGUAUAAAUUGCUUUGCAAUGGAAAGUUGCUCAUUGCACAUUUUAUUUUAACCAAAUGAAAAGUUGCUCUGCAAUGGAAAGUACUUCCUGUCUUAAGUUCUCAUUAAUGUCACUAAUUUGGAUUAUUGUAUUGAUGAAUGAAAUUCAUGGAUACAAAGGAUGCUUGGAAACAGAGAGGAGUGCUCUGUUGGAAAUCAAGAGCUUCUUCAUAUCACUCAGUGAUAUUAGAUAUGAUGACAAAAUUCUUCCUUCAUGGGUUGGUGAGGAUGAUGGAAUGCCGUCUGAUUGUUGUGAUGAUUGGGUGGGAGUUAUGUGCAACGCCACCACACGACGCGUGAUGCAACUCUCACUCAAUUAUUCACAGGGAUUGAAUUCUUUUUAUAGUACUUCGGCUUCGCUUUUGAUCAAUAUGUCAUUGUUUCAUCCUUUUGAAGAAUUGCAAAGCCUUGACUUAUCUUCCAAUGGGUUUACAGGCAUCUAUGAGAAUAGAGGUCCGUAUAUAUGUGUACAUUUAUUUCUCGUCCAUAAAUAUUUUGUCAGUGACUAAUUAAUAAUAACACUUCAUAUGCAUUUGCAGCUUACGAUAGCUUUGGGAGUUUGAGGCAGCUGGAGAUGUUAAAUCUUGGUAAUAAUGACUUCAACGACAGCAUAUUACCAUAUUUGAAUACACUAACUUCACUUACCACUCUGAAUCUUCGUUACAAUUCCAUUGAAGGUUCCAGAACCAAGCAAGGUAUACAUAUACGUUUCAGGCCAGCAGAUAUACAUGUCAGGCAACUUAAUUAAUUUCUUAAUUAAAAUAUAUAUUUAUAUUGUCUUGAUCAAAAUUAAUGUUUUCUGAGCAGGAUUAGUAAAUUUGAGAUACUUGCAAGUGUUGGAUCUAAGCGCGAACUACAAUAUAACUAGUAGCUCUUUAACAAGGCUAGGUAGGCUACUGAGAUAAUUACCAAGUCAGCACACGAAUCACAACCUUCUACAAUAAUUUUAAAAAGUAAUAUUUUACUUUUCAUUGGUGUAGGAUUGGCAAAUAUGACAAACCUGAAAGAAUUAGAUCUUCGUGGUUGUGGAAUAACUACAAUUCAAGGUACACGGCAACAAGUCACUACCCAAAUUCCUUGUGAUAUUAUUAUGCCCUUAAUUUUUACACAUGUAUAAUGUCAAAUUAAAACCCAUUUUUUACUGGAAAACUUGACAAACUUCACUACAAUUGGUACACGACAAAAAUUUACUUUCUAAUUUCUUAGUAAAAUUUAAAAAAAAAAAAAAAGUCAUUUUUGAGUAUAUGAUCAAUUUAAUUAGAUCUGAAUCAUAAGCUUUAUUACUACAAUUAUUUAAUCUAAAUUUAUUUCUUAAUCUUAAUUCUUUUUUUUCCAAAGAUGAUUAAUAAAAUUUUUCUUCUUUCUUGGUGCAGGAUUAGCUAAAUUAAAAAACUUGGAAGCAUUGGAUUUGAGUUCUAAUUAUAUUAGACACGGUUCUUUAGAAGGUCAUUUUUUUAAUUAAACAAUUUGCACAGUUAAUUUUCAUUCAAUAUUUACCAUAUUAUUUUAAUUAAACAAUUUAGACAAGAGUGACAUAACUGUUAUUAACAAAAUUUAUGUUUUUUUUUUAACAGGAUUAGCAAAUUUGACAAACCUACAAGUGUUGGAUUUAAGCGGUAAUCAAAAUCUGACAACACUAGGUAGGCCACUGAAUCUGAGAUAAGAAGCAAAUUAAAUGUAGAAUUAAUGUUCAUCAAACGCGCGGAUCACAUACAAUGCCUUUAAAUGUAAUAUUUUCAUUUUCUAUCGGCGCAUGUAGGAUUCCCAGAUUUGCCAAACUUGAAAACAUUGGAUCUUGGUUAUUGUGGGAUAACUACAACUCAAGGUAAAAUUUUUAAAAUAAACGUACGCAGUUAUUUUUCGUUGAAACAUGAUAAUUUUUAAUACUUUCAUUAAUUAUUUAUACCCCCAAUUUCUAGCGACUUGUUUGUUGGUCAAGCAAGCUACUUGAAAGGCAAAAUUAUGAACACCAAUUUUUCUCCCCUUUAAUUAAAAAUACCUUUUAAAAUCGAGUUCUUUAUUUGUAUCGUUGAUUUUAUGAGAGGAAAUAUUUAAAUAUUCAAGACAAAUUAAUUUAGUGCCUCUUAGACCAUUUAUUAUUUAUGAAAACAACUAAAAAAUUAGAGAACCAAUAUAAUGUCCAAUGAGCGCGUACCUAAUAUGUGGUAGGCAAUUAUGAUGAACAAGAAGUGUUGAACUCUUUUUUAGAUUAUUUGAAAUGACUUAGAAGUCAACAUCAAAAUAUACGAGAAUAAUACUAAUUAAUUUCUAGGUAUAAUUUAACAGGGAUUUGAUUUUUUUCUUUUUUGAUAGAUUAUAGGGGUUCUGACUAAAUUAUCUACUUUUAGAAAAUUAGGAAGUCAUUCUUUCUCUCCUUUUUUUGAUAGAUUGUAGUGGCUCUCUAACAAAUUUAUGUUUUUUUUAACAGGAUUAGCAAAUUUGACAAACCUGCAAGUGUUGGAUUUAAGCGGUAAUCAAAAUUUGACAGCGCUAGGUAAGCCACUGAAUCUGAUAUUAGAAGCAAAUUAAGAAUUAAUGUUCAUCCAACGCGCAUAUCACAUACAAUGCCUUUACAUGUAAUAUUUUCAUUUUUUAUCGACGCAUGUAGGAUUCGCAGAUUUGCCAAACUUGAAAGCAUUGGAUCUUGGUUAUUGUGGGAUAACUACAAUUCAAGGUAUAUAACAAUUCACUUCCUUCAAUGACAAAAAUUGUUUUAGAUGUUAAUCAAGAUGAUAAUGUAUUUCCAUUUUUUUAAUUGCUUUUUCACAUUUUUAAGUUUACUCAACGUGCAAACAAAUUUAAGAAUUAUGAUUCAGAUACUCCAAAUCUAAGUAAUGCUAAAAGGGACNNNNNNNNNNNNNNNNNNNNNNNNNNNNNNNNNNNNNNNNNNNNNNNNNNNNNNNNNNNNNNNNNNNNNNNNNNNNNNNNNNNNNNNNNNNNNNNNNNNNGUAUGGAGAAUCCUUUUUUUUUUCUUUUAAUAGAAGAAACGGGUUUGAUAAUAAAAAUAAAUAAAAACUAAAGAAUGGGGUUUACACUAAUAAGUUUUAAUAAGGGUAUUUUUUUCAUUGAAGGUGGUGUUAAAACAAUUUUAUAAUAAUUUUAAAUAUUUUAAUGGGAUUAAUAAAGAAAAUGGGUGUUAAGAGGUAUUUAGAGGGGUGCCAAUAGUUCCACUUUUAUUUGAAAUGCUUUAGAAAUAAACACCAUAAUAUACGAGAAUAAUACAAAUUGAUUCCUAUGAAUAAUUUAUAGGGUUUUAGUGUUUUUUUUUUUUUAUAAAUCAUACGGGUUUUGACUAAAUUCACUAAAAUUAGAAAACCAUAAAGUCAUUCUUUCUAUGAAUUUUGAACUUCUUAUUUUUUAUUUUCAGGAUUAUGUGAGUUGAAGAAUCUUUUUGAGUUGAAUCUUAAAAGAAAUAAUGUUGAGGGUCAUCUUUCUAACUGUCUCAAAUACUUAUCUCACCUCAAGGUUCUUGAUAUUUCUCACAAUCAGUUAAGUGGGAGUUUGUCUUCUACUAUCACCAGCCUCACUUCACUUGAAUAUUUGGAUCUUUCCUACAACAACUUUGAAGGACCAUGGCCCCUCAGUUCAUUAGCUAAUCAUUCAAAGCUUGAGGUCUUGCUACUCUCAUCAACGAACAAUAUGUUGCUGGUGAAAACUGAAAACUUUCUCCCUACAUUUCAAUUGAAAGUUCUUGGGUUAGCUAACUGCAGCUUAAAUGUUGUUCCUACUUUUCUUCUUCACCAAUAUGACUUAAAAUACCUUGAUCUCUCUCACAAUAAUUUGGUUGGUGAUUUCCCAUCUUGGGUGUUACAAAACAACACCAAGCUAGAGGUCUUGUUUUUGACAAACAACGCAUUCACAGGGAAUCUCCAACUACCCAAUACCAAACAUGAUUUUCUUCAUCAUUUAGAUGCCUCUAGCAAUAACUUCAUUGGUACGCUUCCGCAAGAUAUGGGAACUAUCCUUCAAAAAUUGUUGUUUCUGAAUAUUUCCAACAAUCAUUUUGAAGGCAAUAUUCCUUCUUCGGUUGGUGAGAUGAAAGAACUCAGACUUCUACACUUGUCAAAAAAUAAUUUUUCAGAAGACUUAUCAACACCAUUUCUCACUGGUUGCAUCUCACUAUUCUUCUUAGACCUAUCUGAUAACAAUUUCUACGGCCAAAUUUUUUCCAAGUAUAUGAACUUGACUCAUUUGGAGCUCUUAUAUUUGGAGAACAAUAAGUUUAGUGGGAAAAUUGAGGAGGGGCUAUUGAACUCCCCUGAUUUAUGGGUGUUAGACAUAUCCCACAAUUUUUUGUCCGGUCAUAUUCCUCACUGGAUGGGUAAUAUCUCAAAUCUUGAGAUUCUUUUGAUGGCCAACAAUUGUUUGGAAGGUAAUAUACCUGUCCAACUCCUCAAUCAUAGAACGCUUGAACUUUUAAGUGUCUCCGAAAAUUAUUUGUCUGGGUCCAUGACAUCUUCCUUCAAUCUUUCUUCACUGAAGCACCUGUAUGCGAAAAAGAAUGCUCUAAGUGGGCCAAUUCCAGAUAUGUUGUUUAGAAGUUCCAAGUUAAUGACUCUAGAUUUGAGAGAUAAUGGAUUCUUUGGUAGAAUUCCCUGUCAGAUUAAUGAUCGCUCAAAUCUUCGUGUUCUUCUUUUGAGAGGGAACAAUCUAGAAGGACAAAUUCCGAAUCAGAUGUGUCAAUUAAAGAGCUUAGGUAUGAUGGAUCUGUCGCAUAACAGAUUCAAUGGAUCAAUACCUUCUUGCUUUACUAAUAUGUUGCAGUGGACUAUCGGAAAUGUUGAUUUGUUUGGAUAUGAACUUUCGGUUUUUCCUAGUUUAGGUUUUGGCACCAUUGGCACUUACUACAACUCUACUCUUGACUUGAGCAUGUCUGAAGGAGAUGUGUAUACAUCCCCUCAGCUAGUAAAAGUAGAAUUUAUGACAAAGAAUAGAUAUGAACUUUACAAUGGUAGCAAUCUUAACUAUAUGGUUGGGCUGGAUUUGUCAUGCAACGAAUUGACUGGAAACGUCCCAUCAGAAAUUGGAGAUCUUAAAAAAAUUCGUGGGUUGAAUUUGUCUCACAAUUGGUUGUCAGGAUCUAUACCAAGGAGUUUUUCCAAUUUGAAAAUGAUAGAGAGCCUAGACCUUUCCAACAACAGAUUGAGUGGACAAAUUCCUGCUCAACUGAUUGAGCUCAAUUUUUUGUCCAACUUCAAUGUGUCGUACAAUAACUUGUCCGGCCUAAUCCCAGACAAAGGCCAAUACUCCACGUUUGAUGAAAGCAGUUACAGAGGUAACCUCUAUCUUUGUGGUCCAACAAUUAAUAAGAGUUGCAACAGUGCAGAGGAAAUACCAGCAAUAAAAUCCAAAGGAAGAGAAGACGAAGAUGAUUCUGCAAUUGACAUGGUGUCAUUAUAUUGGAGUUUCGGUGCAUCUUAUGUGACAGUGAUAUUGGGGUUGUUUGCAAUCCUAUGGAUAAAUUCAUUUUGGCGCAAACGAUGGUUCUAUUUCAUCGAUGCAUGUAUUGAUUUAUGUUACUAUUGCCAUAAGUACUAAUGUAUCAUUCAAUUGGCUUCUCGAUCCGCAAAACCUUGUGCAUAAAUAAAUGUUUGUUAUUUCAGUUUGGUUCUCAAACCAAAGUCAAAGUAUUAUUCAUAUAUUCAGCAAAUUUUGAAAUGUGCUGUAAUUUUGGUUCAACUCGUUAAUAUUGUAUGUCAAACUCAAAUCCAACUUUAGCCGUGUUGAUGAAAAAAAGUUGAUUUAGAUAAAUUUAGACUCAAAUGUCUCUGUGCUAUUGAACUCAUCUUUCAAGUUCUUCACUGUAUUUUCAAAAGCCAUCGAUUUGUUUGUCCAAGGAUAAGCAUUUCUCCCUACAGGAAAAAAAAGAAAUUAAUUUAUUUAAUAAAUAAAAAUUCAAACAUUGUUAAUAUCCAAUAUUAAGCUAAAAGAGAUAUCACAAAAUUUAUUAACAUCAUAAGGAAGAAAGCCGCAGCCACUGGAUCCAUAAUUGACACCCGAUCUCACUUUUUUUUAUUUGUUGUUCAUCCUUUAAACUUAAGCUCGGAGGAGGGAGUGGCAAUCCAAAUACUUGAGCUAUCAUCAGCAAAAUAUUAAUCACUCAUUAAUGAUUAAUCAUAAUUAUAAUUAAAAAAAAAAAGAUCAAUGUUUCAUUUCGUUUGCAAAUUCUAGAAUUUCGUUUGCAAAUUCUGUUUGUUACCUUAUUGGAGACGAUGUACCAUUAAACUGCGACCACAACAAUAUUUGGCUAUCUCAAAGUUUGUUUUAAACAAACUUUUAAUACUAAACUUGUAAUUGUAAACAAAGAAAUACUAAACUUAUUAGCCGCUUUCAAGUCAUUAGAAAAUAAAUUUUCUUUCUAUUUAGAGACAAUUGUUAACAGUGAUACAUGGUUUCUGUCAAGAUCCAUUUAGGAAUAAAGUCGAGCAAAAUGAAUUCUUUUAGAGAUCACAGCAAACAGGCUUUAAAAAAUAAUAAUAAUUUAUAAAUCUUUUACAUAUGAAUAAUGAGAAAUGAUCUGCUUUGCAGAAGCGUUACAUAACAUUAUUGAAGCAAUUCAAAACUUAAAUAUUAUUUAUAAUGAGUCAUCACCAGAUCAAUUUCUACUCUGUGUAUGCAUGUACUUAAAUAUUAUUUACCCAAAUAUUAUAGAUAAAUUAUAAUAAAAUCUUUAUAAAUUCAUAGUAUUGGGAAGAAAUUUAUUAUUAUAUGGAAUAUAUUUAUAUUCUAAUGAUAGGCGUUUAAUCAAUUAAAAAAUUAAUUGAAUAUAAAUUAAUUCACUAAAUAAACACUAUAUUAAACAAAAAAUAUAUUUAAAAUUAUUGCAUUUGAGAAAUUAGACAUGAGAUCCAAUUGUAUUAAAUUAAAGAAAAAAUAACAACUGAGUUAUAUCUAAUUUAAUAAAAUGUUAUGAUUAUUAAAUCAGUAAUUUUAGGUGUAAUAAACAUAAUGACAAAAUGACUAAUGUUUUAACUGGACGGCAUGAAAUAGGUUUUUAAUUGACAGAAAAAAAUUAAAAAAAAUAAUUUUGUUCUAAUCUUAUUCUUAUAUUUUUAUUGAUGGACCCUUUCGGCCUAACAGAUGUCAUCAGGCCAAUACUCAUCUCAAUUACCCAAUUUUUAUAUUUUUUAUAAAAUUAUAAAUACACAUAUAAAAUAUAUUUUUUUCCUUUUUUAUUUAUAUAGUAACUAGCUAGAUUGCAAAGUGCACAUUCUAAAAUUUUUGUCUCUAAAUUUGUCUUCCCAAGUCGGACAACCAGCAGUAAGUUCUCUAAAUAAAGGUUAGGAUGUUUUUGUAUUUUCUUUUAAGUUAUUUUAUUUAUGAUUAAAUCGUAUGUAAAUUUAUUAUUAUUAUUAUUUGCUUAAAUAACAUAAUGAGAUAGGAGAAAUCAGUUAUAUUUUUUAGAUGUGAAAAAAAGUUGAGUUUUUUAUAUUUUUUAUAUUUUUUGAUGUAGGAAUAAAUUGUUUUGCCCAAGCACAAGAAAAUAAUUUUUUUCCCCCAUCUUAUGUUAUCGAAGUUGAAUGAUAUAAUAGCAUUUUUUAAAUAGUUUGAUUUAAUUCAUUAUUUUCAUGAAUUUAAAAUAAUGCCAGUAUUUGAGUAGAAUAACAUUUUACAAAUUUCAUGAAAUAAAUUCUUUCUGAGAUCAAUUCUCUUUUCUUCAGAGAGGAGUCGCAUUCUCGAUAAUUUUAAAACCCUAAAACAUGAUUAAUCUCAUAAAUAAAAAUAUUUUCUGUUAUAUUCAUUAUUAUCUCACGUCGAACUUAGGACAUGAGAUCCAAUAAAACUACUCUUUAAUACUAGAGCAUUUAAUGAUCCCUGUAGGAAAACAAUAAAUCAAUUUCUAUAAAUAAAUGUUGUAAGACUGUAAUAAUGAUGCUCUUCUGCUAGAAUCCCCAAGACUUGUGACAUAAGUACAUGGGUAAUUGUAUUUAUUAGUUUCCUUGCUAAACUUGGGCUUCGUUCUAUAUAAUUAAUUUAUAUAAUUAUUAAAUUUCAUAUUUGUUUGAUUUUCAUAAAUUAGAGAGGACGAAGCGGUAUGAUGAAGAGGCAGCAGCUAAUUUCGGAUUCAUCAAUUUGAAUGAUGUUUGAUGAGAUUAUUACGUGGACUUGGACUUGCAAUUAGAUUCGUUUGUGAGUGUUUGUCUCUUUUUUUGUUGUUGUGACAGAGCUGUUGGAGGUUCAUUUUAUACAACUCAUACUACCACUUUUUAAGAAUUUUAAGGCAUGUUCAACAUUAUUUUUAGAGUGGUGUUUUCAUUUUUGUUUUGAGUGUACAUAUAUAAUAUAUGUUCGAUAGAUUAAAUUUAAAAAAUAAAUUAUAAAACAAAUAAUUCAGAUUUCACUUUAUAGUUAUAAAACUGAAAACAUAUUAAACACGUUCUCAAUGAAUCAUAGUCCAAACUCCUGAAUAAGAGAGGAGUAAGCAUUCUGAUGACUGUUAUUUGUGAUCAGGAUCUCAGUGGUGUAUCGACUAUGAACUUCAACCUGCAGACAGCUCUAGAUUUACAAUUCAAUUGCCGAAAAAUUCAAUCACAUGUGGAGAAAAUUGAAAAGUGGGAUCAUACCAUGGACUUGGAAAUUUUGUACAUACCCUUGAUUUGGAGUUUUUGCGCAGCAAUAUGAAUUGAGAGCAUGAUGAUCACUUUGUUAACAUGUAUAAUGACUUGAUUCGUACCCUCAUAUUCGAGUCUUUCUUCCAGAAGUCUCAUAGAAGUUUAAUCUAAAUUGAAAAGAGAACAAUUUAGUAUAUAAUAAAAUGAAAUAUAAUUUUUUUCAUUAAACUUGUGAAAAUUUAUGAACUUAAUACUGCAUUAACACCACCAGCAACACCUACAGAAGGAGAAGAAGAAGAAGACGAUUCUGUGAUUGAAAUGGUGGCAUUAAGAUGGAGUUUUGGAGCAUCCUAUGUCAUUGAUAGAUGCAUUGACAUAUGCUACUCAAAUGCUUAAACUUAUUACUCAAAUGCUUUACAAUCAGAUCAAUUGUUUUGAGGACACUUCAAGAAUUCCAAAGAAUCUCGAAUCACACGUUUUGGCUAAGAAACAAAAGAGAAAUCACACACACAGCAGCCCCGUUAACAAACUUUAACGGUUCUGCCACAUCAGCGCAAAAUUUACAAAUUGACCCCUCAUCUGAAGUCGUUCUGCACAAUUCCCCAUAAACUUUCACUCGAUUUCAUUUUAGUCCAAAAACAGUAUUCAUGUCUUCACAGAACCCAAUAUUUUCCCCGUAUUUCUAGUGAUUUCACUAAAAUUAUGCAAAUAUUUUCUUCACCUUUUGUCGGUUACAAAUCUAGAUUUUGAUUAAUUUCAUGACUUUUUGUGGUUUCACCAAGAGGCAUGUGUUGAUUAAUGAAGUUUAUAAAUUAUUUCUACUUAAUUCGAGGGGCAAGGGGAAGUUAAUUAGAUCAUAAAUAACCAGCAGGAUAACUUACACUAGCUACCAUUAAUUCAUAGAUAACUAGUGAUAAAUUCAAAAACCUUCUCCUAAUUAGGAAUGACAAAAAAGUCUGGGCCAAUAUGACCCAUUCCUAGGGGCUUCGGCCUGAGCCUCCAUAUGAAGUGCUUAGACAAGGACUUAAGAGAAAAAAAAAAAAAAAAAAGCUAAAGUCAAGCCUAUAUUUAAAAUAAAUAAAUUAUAAAUUAGAAUAGUAAAUUAAAAUUUCAAAAUAAUUAAAAAAGACUUAAAUUUUUAAUUUAUAUAUUAAUAAUGAAUCAGAAAAUCUAGAAUUAUAAUAUUUAAUUCUCUUUUAAGUGUUAAUUAAUUAAGAGAGUGUUUGAAUUAGAUAAUCUAGUGUUAAAAAAUUAAAUUUCUAAGCUUUUAUUUGCUUAUUUUUUAUUUUAUUUAGAAAUAUUCAUUUUCUUUAAUUCACUAUCUAUUAUAACAAUUUAUUGACUAUUAACUUAUUUCAAAUUUACAACAAUUUCAAAAAAUAUUGAAAAAAUAAGUGAAAACCCAAGCUUGGCCCUUAUACUUUCCCUCUAAUGGGUUUGAGCUUAGAUUUGAAAAAGCUUGAUCCAAACCCGCAUUUUGCCAUCUCUACUCCUAGUCAACUUGGAUCAUUUUUCUUUAAGAUACUAUUUGAUCUUUGCGACAAGGAUCGAAACAAAGACGAGGACAAAGAUUAUUAAUUACCGAGAGUGAUUGUCUCAAUUUUUUAAUGACCGAGUGAUUGUCCAAUUUAUUCAAUCAUUAGAGAGACUUAUUGUCAAUCAAUAAGAUCAUUGACACAAAGAUUGAUUGUCUUUUUUUAUUUUCACUUUUUUUGAGAAUAUCAAUGCUUGAAUGUAUUAUUUGAUAUAUAAUUUAAUGUAAACCCAAUCACACUCUUAAGUUAUUUUUAUAAAUUCUCAAUAUAGGUCUCUGAUUCUAAUUCGAGCUUUGAUUCAAAUUAAUGCAAGGAUACAAAGGGACUCAAGAGCUUUAGUUCUCGUUUAUGUGCUAUUAUUUUAGCGUACACCAUAAAGUUAUUAGUUGAUUAUUAAUUGUUACACAUUUCAAAAAAGUCAAACAUCCUAUUGAAUUAUUAAUUCCAAAGCAUGUUAUUGAAGAAUCAGUACUGGAAAAAAAUUAUUUGAUAAUUUCAAACCCGAACUUACGCUUUAAUCCUUUAGAUUACCUCAAUUAACUUUUAUUUUAUUAGUUGACUAUCUCCAUCACCUGUUGGCAAAAAUAGAAUUGACGACAACUGGUAGAUAUGUUGCCUUAAUUUGAAAGUCAGUCAACAUGCAUUUUUCUGCGGAGAUAUUGCAGUAGAAGAAGACUAAGGUUAAAAAAGUUUAUAAGAGAAGAACAAACAUCCAACACCCGCUUCUCUCAUUCGUUUGUUUUGCUAAAGUAGUUGAAGUGAAAGCAUACUUUUCCCGAGCUGUUAUUAAUUAGAAAACGAGUAUCAACAUUAUCAUAAUUCUUCGUGACCUACACUUCCAGUCAAGAAAUAGUUUAUUAAUUUAUUUUAUUAGUAUAGGUUUUUAAAAAUUAAUUUAAGUCUUAGUUUAAAAAAUAUUCUAAUUAUUUUAUGUUUAUAAUUUAUUAAAUGAAUAAAUGAAAUUUGAAUAAUUUGUUUGAAUAUUUUCAUAUUUUGACAGCUUGAGUUUAUAAAUUUGUAUUAAUCGAUGCUAUAAUCUAAGGAAUUAAAUUUAUGCAUUAUUAUAUUAUAAUUAAUUAUUGUGAAAUUAAAUAUAUAAUUGUGAAAUUUUGAUAAAUCGAUAAUAAAAUAUCAAUUGUUCUCCGAAUAAAAAUUAUAAUUAUUAUUGUGGUUGUUGUUGUUGUUGUUGUUAUUAUUAUAAGUGCUUGACUUGAUGGACUUGAAAAAGUACGUUAGACACAUAGACUUAAACAAAACACGUUAGACAUGUGAAUUUAAAAAGAAAAAGUUAGCGGACUUUUUUUUAAGUACGGCUCACAGCACAACCCACUCACUUAGUGGGUCAUGCCGUGCCAACUCAUGGACCGCAAUAGGCCUUGGUUUAUGCCGGCACAGCCCAUUGGUGAUCUUUAAUCGAGAAGAUGAAAAAGAGGAAAGUAUAAACCAGUUGCAUUAAUUUCAUUUAAAAUAUUCAACUGCUAACAAAAUUCAACCACGUGAUGGAGAAAAUUGAAGAGUGGCGUCAUACCACCGACAAACAAACUUUAUACGUAUCAUUGAUCUGGACCUUUUAAAUUGAGAGCGUGACUUCUCUUUAAUAUAAUGACAAAUUCCAUCUACUACUAGAACCGUAGCGUUGUUAGAUAAAAAGUCAGUCAACUUUUGUUUUCCACGCAUCUAGAGCCCUUUUCCUCAAUGGUCGAACGCUGCAAUAGAUGGAAAACUUAUGUGUUUGUCAUUUGAGUGUGCGCAGCAUUAUUAUGAGUAAUUUACUGUACUUGUUUGAAAAUUUAGUUGAUUAUUGAGUCUUUUUCAUAUCAAACAUCCAAUCAUAUUAUUUUCAAAGCACAUUAUUACUUCCUUAUGAUUUCUUUAAAGUUGUUUUAUUAUAUUGAUUUUGAUUUUUCUUUUUUGGCCAUUUGACUAUAUUGUCCAUGUAAAAAAAGUCUUUUACGAUUUUAUUGACCUUAAAUCUUUUAGAAUUAAUUUUGUGGAUGGUAGGAACUAUAUUUACGGGAUUGGCCAUUUGACUCUUAUCAGUUGCUUGUAAUAAAUCCUUUACAAUUCAAUUGUCGAAAAUUUCCACCGCGUGAUGGAGAAAAUUGAAUUGUGGGAUCAUACUGUGGACUUGCAAUGCUUUAUACUUAUCAUUUAAAUCGAGAGCAUGACUUUGUUGACAUGCUUGAAUGACUUGGUUGAGUUCGUACCCUUAUAUUCGAGACGUUUGUUCAAAAGUCUCAUCAAAUUUUUAAAUCAAUUUGAAGAGACAACAAUUUAAUAGAUAAUAAAAUGAAAUAUAAUUUUUUUUCUUUGAAUUUAUGUAAAUUUAUGAGCAAUGCCUUGUUUGUCACAUAGCAUCUGUUCUGAAAAUAACAACAACAAUAAUAAUAAUAAUAAUAAUAAUAGUUGCAUUAGUGUUAUAAUUUGACUAGAUUAAUAAUUAAAUAAGGGCAUAUUUGGUUGAUGUAUUAUGACUCCUCAUUGCAUUAAAUUUAUACAAACCCAUGUUCGGUCCACAUAUUAUUCUACUUGCCCUUCUAGUGGGAAAUAUUAAUUUACCACACAGAGUUUUAAUGGACUUAUCAUUCAUAGGUUUUAGUAGUCACCGUGGUUUGGCACUUUAACUCAAUGAUUGAAUGUUGUAAUAUAUAUGUAUUUAUAUAUAAAAUUCGUCGUAUUUAAAUUGCACCUCUCUAUAUGUUGUGCAUCAUAAAAGAUGUCAUGUUAAUGUAAUCCACACUUUUAUGAGUAAAUUAAGAAAUAUAUAGGGAAAAUUAACUGAUUAAUUAUUGAUCAUCUAAUAAUAAAAACCAAUUUACCAAAAAUCUAUUAAAAUAAUUUUCAAAACUCAUUAAAUAUUUGAGAAUAUCAAGCAUCAAUGCUUGAAUAGAUUGUUAAGGCGAAGGCUUAACUCAAGUGGUAAGAGCAUUGCUUGCCUAAGGCCAAGGUCUUGAGAUCGAGUCUUGAGUUCGAGUCUCAUUAGAAGAGAAUGAGGUGAAAUCUAGUGAUCCUCUUUGAAAAAAAAAAAUGCUCGAAUAGAUUGUUUGAAAAUUCGGUGCAAACCCAAUCAUACAAUUCAACCCAAUUAUGCUCUCAAAUUAUAUAAAUUCUUAGUCAACUUUUAUUUUAUAGUAUUGACAAUCUCCAGUAAUUGAUAGUAGGGGUGGACAAAAUAUCCGACCCGAUCCAAUCCGAAAAAUAUUGGGUUUAGAUAAGAUCGGGUUGUUACUGAAACCCGAUCGGAUGAAUUCUUCUUAACCCGAUCUGAUCUGAAACCUGAUUGGAUUGCUUUAGAAUUAAAAAUAAAUAAAAAAUAAACCUAAACGGCAAACACUAACCUAACACACACACACCACACAACAGAUUACAUGGCACAUUAUACAAUACGCACACAACGCUCACAACCUCACACUCAUAGCUCAAGCCUCACAAAACUCAAAACACGUCGCCGACAGCCACAACCACAACCAUCUCCCUCCCACAAGAACACUCUUCACGCCCCUCAGGGUCACGGUUUCAUGCACACGGCACACAUGUAAGAGAGAUUGUAACAUUUUUCAAGUUUCUUUGGUUUGAUAUUCUGGACAAAAACGGUUUGCCAUUUCUUGAGAAAACGGCUAACCGUUUAAGUCCAGAGAGCAUGUUUUUUGUUCUGGAAUAAACGGCUCACCGUUUAUGGUGAAAACGGCUUACCGUUUAACUCCAGAGAGCAUGUUUUAUGUUCUAGAAUAAACGGCUCACCGUUUAUUGAGAAAACGGCUAACCGUUUAUUUCCAGAAAGUUGUCAAUUGGAAAAACGGUUAGCAAGAUUGAAAAGAUUUCAAUUGUAAAUCGAUGCAAAUUAAAACCAAAGAGUUUUUCCGAAGAAGUAUCAUUUCUAAUGGUUGUAUUCUUUCAAAUAAACAUCUUCUUCAUAAAAGAAAGACACACAAUUAGAUGAGCAAUCAGAUUUUGAAGAUUUCAUGCUUGUUCUGGAAAUACAAUCUUAUUUGCUAAAGAUUGUAUUCAGGAUUUGAUAUAUCUUGGGGGUAAUUUGCCAUUAAAACUCUAUAGCAAACCAAGAUUGGUGAGGGCAAAUAAAACCUUAAAGGAAAGUGUGCAAACACGUCUCAAAUCCUAAGAAAUUUCAUUGUUCUUUGCCUUCAUAUUCUACAAUUCUCUAACAACACACACGCGCACACGGCGCACACGCAUCUCAAGAAGUCAAGCAUUGUCUUCACGGAUCACAGUCAUAGUCACUGCUGAACAUUGUGCUGCUGCGUGUCCACGAGAUCUGUGCUCCAUGUUGCCGGAUAUGUCCAAGCUCCAAACAAUCUGGCAACUGCUGCAUGUGCAACUCGAUUCCAGUACCCGACCUGAGUUUCCCUUUCUGAACCUGAUCCUAUUUGAAUUCAAUUCGAUUUUUUUUAUCUAAUCAGAUUGGGUUAUAAAUUCGAGUUGCAUUUGAAUUAAUUUAUGUCCAACUCGAUCUGAAUCCGAUUUUGCCCACCCCUAAAUUAUUCAUUUGAUAGAAGAAAAGGAAUUGAUGGCCUUGUUUCUUGGCUUAAAUUGAAAGUCAGUCAACUUCAAUUUUCCCAUAGUUGUAAUAAUAUAUGAAAAAUAGGUUAGAGUCAGAUGUCGUUUAUGUGUCAUUAUAUCAGUGUCCACCACAAAUUUAUGAGUAAUUUAUUAAAAUGUCUAAACAUGUAUAAAAAAAUAGUUGAUUAUUGAUUUUCAAAAAUUUCAAUAUAUUAAAUAUCCUAUUGAAUUAUUAAUUCCAGAGCUCUCUUUUAAGUAUCAAUAGUGGAAUAAAUUAUUUGAUAAUUUCAAAUCCAAACUUACGCCUAAAUUCUUUAAAUUAUCUCAAUCAACUUUUAUUUUAUUAGUUGACUAUCUCCAUCAAUUGUUGUACAAAAUAAAAUUGACGGCGAUUUGUAUGUCGGCUUAAUUUGAAAGUCACUCAACAUUUAUUUUCCAUGGAGUAUUAACGAAGCGUUUUUCCUUAUUGGUCCAGGUCCUGCAAGUCUUUGCUAAUCAUUAUAGAGACCAAAACUAAUUAUCUUUAUAUGCACCAAUUGCUAUAAAGAUUAAUUUUGAAUUAAUAUUAAGAUCGAUUGUCCAGUAAUAAUAAGAUUGAUUGAAUCAAUCUUUAAAAAUCAAUCAAAUUUCCAAUUAUAAUAAUUGUGACAUUUUUUCAUAAAUUCGUAAUUUUUUGUAUAAAUUGAGUUUUUAUGCUCAUGAUCGGUGAAGUAAUAGAGCGAAAAAAUUGAUAUUGGUAGAAAAUAUUAAUUGAGCAUAUAUUGGGUUUCGAUGGACUAAUCAUUCACAGGUUUUGGUGGUCAUCAUGAUUGGCGCUUUAACACAAUGAUUGAAUGCUGCAAUAUAUAAGUAUAUAUAUAUAUAUAUAAAGUUGGGACUUGAGGAGGUGAUGUGGCAUCACUAUUUCUCAUCAUCUCAUAUUCUCUAUUAUCUAAUAAAUGGGUUGAAAUUAAAAAAUAAUUACAUUACAAAAUAUUAAAAUAGAAAAUAAUUAUUAGAUUAUAAAUGAUUACAUGUCUUUUCCUCUUUCUAUUUAAAACUCACUAAAUAUUUUAGAAUAUCAAUCCUUGAAUAGAUUAUUUGAUAAUUCAGUGCAAACCGAAUCAUAUUCAUACAAUUCAAUAAAAGCCUAAUCAUACUCUUAAAUUACAUAAACUUUUAGUCAACUUUUAUUUUAUAGUGUUGACCGUCUCCACUAAUGGUUAGCGGAUAAAGAAUUGAUGGCCACUUGUUUGCAGGCUUAAUUUGAAAAGUCAGUCAACUUUAAUUUCCCACGUGGUUGUAAUAAUAUAUGGAAAAUUAGAUAGGGUCAUUUAAAUUGAACUCGUACAGCUGUCCUAAGUUUAUAUGAAAUUUAUGUUUUUGUCAUUUCAAGUGAUUGUAAUAGGAGUCAAGCUGCAGAUUGAGAGCAAUGGAAACUUUCCUCGUUAAGGAUUCUCAAUAUCUUUGAUUUUAGUAGAGCUUUGAUUCAAAUGCAUGAAGACAAAGAGUCACAAGAGCUUCAAAUAACUUUGAUGUGUUUAGUCAUUUCGGAUUACGCCCCAAAUUUAUGAGUAAUUAAACUAAACAUGUAUGAAAAUUUAUGUUGAUUAAUUAUUGAUUUUCUAAUAAAUUAAUUUAAACUUAUCAAACAUCCAAUCAAAUUCUUCUCAAAACACAUUAUUUAAUCUAUUGACUGAUAAUGCAAUGGAAAUCCAAACAAACAGUUAAAUUAUUUAAAUUCUCUCAGUCAACUUUUAUUUUAUUAGUUAUGAUUAUCUCCAUCAAACUAUUGGAAAAAUUUAUAGUUUACAAUCACUUUAUCUAUAUUUUCCACGGGGUAUUAAUGAAGUGCUUUUUCCCGUUAGUCGAAUGUUGCAAAACAUGUAAUGCUUACAAGUCUUCAAAGUCUUCAGCCAAUCAAACUCUUCACUGCCAAUGAUCGUGCUAGGCCAUACGCAUGAUGUGCUUUUCUGCUAAAACUAGUUCAUAAAUGUGAUUUCAUUAAAAUUAGUUUAUGCGCAUCUUUCCCUUGGCUUUUGUUGUUUCCAAAUCCGGACUGUUAUUCAUAUCAUUACUUCACGUGGUUUCACCAAAAGGCUUGUGAUGAUUAAUGCAGUUUAUAAAUUAUUAUUAUUAUUAUUAUUAUUAUAACAUUGAUGAUAUAAUAAAUAUUUUUUUUUAAGUUGUAAAAGUGAGAAAUACUAAAGAGAUUUUUAUUACAUCAUUAAUGUUCGAUCAAGAAUUUCCUCCUCCGGGGUCGCAGUCUGUGGAGGAGAUUGUGUCAAUGUCGGAAUUCUCCGGACCGGCACCAUUUUGCCGCUUCUCCAUUGAAUAGUCCGUUUUACUGCAACAAGCCGAAAUACGGCCCAGUGUUCUGAUAGGACCCAAUGCGGUAAAGAUAAAACUCAAGUUUUUGUUAACUUUAGGCCUGCCUAGAUACCAUGCCCAAUUGUGUCUAGUUGUAACAAAAGCGGAGACAUUCAUGCCCAAAACCCCAAGAUUGUUUUAAUAUUUAAAAUUUAACAUGAUUCUAGAUUUUUUUUAAUAAAAAAUAAACAACCAUGAUUCUAGUUAAUAAAAAAAAUAUACAUAUGCACGUGUUGUGUAGACCAGACCAAUUCUCGUGGAAUUCUACAACAACCAUCAUGAUUCUUGAAUGGCCGCGAAAAUUCCACAAGCGAUUAACCCUCUCCCACGACUUACGCACCACUCAUCCUCUAUCACAAGGAUCAAAACAAAGACGAAGACGCAAACUAUUAAUCACCGAGCGUGAUUUUCCCAAUCUUUAUCAAUCACUACUAAGAUUUAUUGCCAAUCAAUAAUAUCAAUGACACAAAGAUUGACUGUUUUUUUUUAUACUCUUAAGUUAUUUAUAUAAAUUCUCAAUAUCGAUCUUUGAUUUUAAUUCGAGCUUUGAUCCAAAUUAAUGCAAGGAUAUAAAGAGACUCAAGAGCUUAAGAUAUCGUUUCUAUGUUAUUAACUUAUUAUUUCGGGGUACACCACAAAUUUAUGAGUAAUUUAUUAAAAUAUCUAAACAUGUAUAAAAAAUAGUUGAUUAUUGAUUUUCACAAAUUUCAAUAUAUCAAACAUCCUAUCGAGUUAUUAAUUCCAAAGCACAUUAUCUAAGAAUCAAUACUAGAAUAAAUUAUUUGAUAAUUUCAAACCCAAACUUACGCUUAAAUUCUUUAAAUUAUCUCAAUCAACUUUUUUUUUUCCUUAGUUGACCAUCUUUAUCAAUUGUUGGAAAAAAAAUAGAAUUGACGACUACCUAUAUAUUGGCCUAAUUUGAAAGUCAGUCAACAUUUAUUUUCCAUGUAAUGUUAAUGAAGUAUUUCCCUCAUUGGUCCAACAUUCCAACAUGUGGAAUUUCAGGCUUCCAAUUCUUCAUUAGUCAUUACAGAGACCAAAACUGAUUGUCUUAAGUGCCGGUCACUAUAAAAAUUGGUUGUCAAUCAAUAUCAAGAUUGACUGUCAUUUCAAUAUAUGCUACAAUUUUAUGAGUAAUUUACUAAAAUCUUUAAACAUGUAUGAAAAUUUUUUUAUUACUGAUUAUCACAAAUUUCAAUAUAUCAAACAUCCUAUCGAACUACUAAUUCCAAAGCAUGUUAUUUAAGAAUCGAUAAUGAAAUAAAUUAUUUGAAUAAAUUAAUUAUUGAUCAUCUAAUAAUAAAAACUCCACUAAUUAAACAUGUAUGAAAAUUAUUUGAUUACUAAUUAGGGGAAACCUUAGGUGCAAUUGUGGUACCGUGCCACAGUUGCAUCCAGCUGUUAGAUUCCAGUGGAACCCACUAAUUCAAAUGAAUCCAACGGUUAGAUGCAACUGUAGCACGGUGCCACAGUUGCACCGUAUUCUGAUCCUACUAAUUAUCACAAAUUUCAAUAUAUUAAACAUCCUAUCGAACUACUAAUUCCAAAGCAUGUUAUUUAAAAAUCGAUAAUGAAAUAAAUUAUUUGAAUAAAUUAAUUAUUGAUCAUCUAAUAAUAAAAACCAAUUUAUCAAAAAUUUAAUAAAUAAUUUUCAAAACCCAUUAAAUAUUUGAGAAUAUCAAAUAUCAAUGCUUGAAUAGAUUGUUUGAUAAUUCAAUCCAAAACCCAAUCAUAUAAUUCAAUAAAAAAAAAACAAUCAUAGAGGAAAAAGAGUUGAUGGCCACUUGUUUGUUGGCUUAAUUUGAAAGUCAGUCAACUUUAAUUUUCCACGUAGUUGUAAUAAUAUAUGGAAAAUUAGUUAGGGUCAUUUAAAUUGGACCCGUACAUCUGUUCCAAGUUCAUACGAAAUUUCUGCUUUUGUCAUUUCAGGUGAUUGUAACAGUAGUCUUAAAAAAGUCUUCAGCCAAUCAAAUUGCAAGACUUGCGAUAAACUUUUAGUAUAAAUUGCUCUGCAAUGGAAAGUUGCUCAUUGCACAUUUAAUUUUAACCAAAUGAAAAGUUGCUCUGCAAUGGAAAGUAGUUCCUGUAUUAAGUUCUCAUUAAUGUCACUAAUUUGGAUUAUUGUAUUGAUGAAUGAAAUGCAUGGAUACAAAGGAUGCUUAGAAACAGAGAGGACUGCUCUGUUGGAAAUCAAGAGCUUCUUCAUAUCAGUCAGUGAUAUUGGAUAUGAUGACAAAAUUCUUCCUUCAUGGGUUGGUGAGGAUGAUGGAAUGCCGUCUGAUUGUUGUGAUGAUUGGGUGGGAGUUAAGUGCAGCGCCACCACACGACGCGUGAUGCAACUCUCACUCAAUUAUACAACAAAAUUCAACUACUCUUAUAACUCUGUUUAUUGGGAGGGAGUUUUGGUUCUGAAUAUGUCAUUGUUUCAUCCUUUUGAAGAAUUGCAAAGGCUUGACUUACCUAUGAAUUGGUUUACAGGCAUCUAUGAGAAUAGAGGUCCGUAUAUAUGUAGACAUUUAUUUCUCGUCCAUAAAUAUUUUGUCAGUGACUAAUUAAUAAUAACACUUCAUAUGCAUUUGCAGCUUACGAUAGCUUUGGGAGUUUGAGGCAGCUGAAGAUGUUAAAUCUUGGUAAUAAUGACUUCAAUGACAACAUAUUACCAUAUUUGAAUACACUAACUUCACUUACCACUCUGAAUCUUCGUUACAAUUCCAUUGAAGGUUCUAGAACCAAGCAAGGUAUACAUAUACGUUUCAGGCCAACAGAUAUACAUGUCAGGCAACUUAAUUAAUUUCUUAAUUAAAAUAUAUAUUUAUAUUGUCUUGAUCAAAAUUUAUGUUUUCUGAGCAGGAUUAGCAAAUUUGAGAUACUUACAAGUGUUGGAUCUAAGCGCGAACCACAAUAUAACUAGUGGCUCUUUAACCAGGCUAGGUAGGCUACUGAGAUAAUUACCAAGUCAGCACACUAAUCACAAACUUCUACAAUAAUUUUAAAAGAAAUAGUUUGCUUUUCAUUGGUGUAGGAUUGGCAAAUUUGACAAACCUGAAAAAAUUGGAUCUUGGUAGUUGUGGAAUAACUACAAUUCAAGGUACACGGCAACAAUUCAAUGCCCAAAUUCCUUGUGAUAUUAUUAUGCCCUUAAUUUUUACAUAUGUAUAAUGUCAAAUUAAAACCAAUUUUUGACUGGAAAACUUGACUACAAUUGGUACACGGCAAAAAUUUACUUUCUGAAAACUUGACUACAAUUGGUACACGGCAAAAUUUUACUUUCUAAUUUCUUAGUAAAAUUUUAAAAAAAUAAAAAAUAAAAUCAUUUUUUAGUAUAUGAUCAAUUUAAUUAUAUCUUAAUCAUCAUAAGCUUUAUUACUACAAUUAUUUAAUCUAACUUUGAAAUUUGUUUCUUAAUCUUAAUUCUUUUUUUUUUCCAAAGAUGAUUAAUAAAAUUUUUCUUCUUUCUUGGUGCAGGAUUAGCUAAAUUAAAAAACUUGGAAGCGUUGGAUUUGAGUUCUAAUUAUUAUAUACACGGUUCUUUAGAAGGUAAUUUUUUUUAAUUAAACAAUUUGCACAGUUAAUUUUCAUUCAAUAUUUAUCAUAUUAUUUAAUUAAACAAUUUAGAUGAGAGUGACAUAGCUAUUAUUGACAAAAUUUAUGUUUUUUUAACAGGAUUAGCAAAUUUGACAAACCUGCAAGUGUUGGAUUUAAGCGAAAAUGAAAAAUUGACAACGCUAGGUAAGCCACAACGUCUAAGAUAAGAAGCAAAUUAAGAAUUAAUGUUUAUCAAGUGCACGGAUCACAUACAAUGCUUUUAAAUGUAAUAUUUUCAUUUUUUAUCGGUGCAUGUAGGAUUGGCAAAUUUGCCAAACUUGAAAACAUUGGAUCUUCGUUAUUGUGGAAUAACCACAAUUCAAGGUAUACAACAAUUCACUUCCUAUUAAAGUCGAAUUUAGAUAAAGUUUUCGACAACCUUACUUUUUAGUGUUUUUAAAAUAUUAUUGAUAAAUGUAUAUAACAACACAAAGAUUAUAAACUUUUUAAAAAAAAUUUACUGACUUAAUUCUUCUAUUCCUCUAUUUUUUUCCUAAAUAAAUAAAUAAAUUCUUCUAUGCCUCUAAUUUUUUCCAAAAUAAAUAAAGCAGGAUUAGCCAAUUAGUCAAAAUAGUGUAAGCUUAUCCGUAACAUGGCCAAGUAAUAUUUGAAUGCUGCAUCCUUGACAUCGUUUCUUCUUUCUUGGUGCAGGAUUGGCUAAAUUGAAAAGCUUGGAAGCAUUGUAUUUGAGUGGAAAUAAUAUAAACGGUUCUUUAGCGGGCCAAGGUAAAAUUUUUAAAUAAAUGUGGACAGUUAUUUUUCAUUGAAACGUGAUAAUUUCGAAUGCUUACAUUAAUGAUAUAUACCCCCAAUUUCUAGCGACUUGUUUGUCGGUCAAACUUGCUACUCGAAAGACAAAAUUAUGAAGACCGGUAUUUUUUUCCCCUUUAAUUAAUAAUACCUUUGAAAAGCGAGUUCUUUAUUUGUAUUGGUAAUAGUUACGAGAGGUAAUAUAAAUUUUCAAGAUAAAUGAAUUAAGUGUAUUUUAGACCAUUUAUUAUUUAUGAAAACAACUAAAAAAAUUAGAGAACCAAUACAAUGUUCAAUGAGCGCGUACCUAAUAUGUAGUAGGCAAUUAUGAUGAACAAGAAGUGCUGAACUCUUUUUUAGAUUAUUAAUUUGAAAUGACUUAGAAGUCAACAUCAAAAUAUACGAGAAUAAUACUAAUUAAUUUCUAGGUAUAAUUUAACAGGGAUUUGAUUUUUUUUCUUUUUUGAUAGAUUAUAGGGGUUCUGACUAAAUUAUCUACUUUUAGAAAAUUAGGAAGUCAUUCUUUCUCUCCUUUUUUUGAUAGAUUGUAGUGGCUCUCUAACAAAUUUAUGUUUUUUUAACAGGAUUAGCAAAUUUGACAAACCUGCAAGUGUUGGAUUUAAGCGGUAAUCAAAAUUUGAUAGCGCUAGGUAAGCCACUGAAUCUGAUAUUAGAAGCAAAUUAAGAAUUAAUGUUCAUCAAACGCGCAGAUCACAUACAAUACCUUUACAUGUAAUAUUUUCAUUUUUUAUCGGCGCAUGUAGGAUUCGCAGAUUUGCCAAACUUGAAAGCAUUGGAUCUUGGUUAUUGUGGGAUAACUACAAUUCAAGGUAUACAACAAUUCACUUCCUUCAAUGACAAAAAUUGUUUUAGAUGUUAAUCAAGAUGAUAAUGUAUUUCUAUUUUUUUAAUUGCUUUUUUCACAUUUUAAAGUUUACUCAAAGUGCAAACUAAUUUAAGAAUUAUGAUUCAGAUACUCCAAAUCUAAGUAAUGCUAAAAGGGACGGUAGAUAUUAAAAUAUCAAUAGAAACAAAAAAUAACUCUUCAUGUCAUAUUAGUUAUUCAUGAACAUCAUUGAGAAAAUUUAUGUCUCAUAAUACAGUGCUAAAAAAUCUCAUUGGUUUUGUAUGGAAGAAAUCCUUUUUUUUUUUCUUUUAAAUAGAAGAAACAGGUUUGAUAAUAAAAAUAAAUAAAAACUAAAGAAUGGGGUUUACACUAAUAAGUUUUAAUAAGGGUAUUUUUGUCAUUGAAGGUGGUGUUAAAACAAUUUUAUAAUAAUUUUAAAUAUUUUAAUGGGAUUAAUAAAGAAAAUGGGUGUUAAGAGGUAUUUAGAGGGGUGCCAAUAGUUCCACUCUUAUUUGAAAUGCUUUAGAAAUAAACACCAUAAUAUACGAGAAUCAUACAAAUUGAUUCCUAUGAAUAAUUUUACAGGGUUUUAGUGUUUUUUUUUUUUUGAUAAAUCAUACGGGUUUUGACUAAAUUCACUAAAAUUAGAAAAUCACAAAGUCAUUCUUUCUAUGAAUUUUGAACUUUUUAUUUUUUACUUUCAGGAUUAUGUGAGUUGAAGAAUCUUUUUGAGUUGAAUCUUAAAAGAAAUAAUGUUGAGGGUCAUCUUCCUAACUGUCUCAAAUACUUAUCCCACCUCAAGGUUCUUGAUAUUUCUUACAAUCAGUUAAGUGGGAGUUUGUCUUCUACUAUCACCAGCCUCACUUCACUUGAAUAUUUGGAUCUUUCCUACAACAACUUUGAAGGACCGUGCCCCCUCAGUUCAUUAGCUAAUCAUUCAAGCUUGAGGUCUUACUACUCUCAUCAACGAACAAUAUGUUACUAGUGAAAACUGAAAACUUUCUCCCUACAUUUCAAUUGAAAGUUCUUGGGUUAGCUAACUGCAGCUUAAAUGUCGUUCCUACUUUUCUUCUUCACCAAUAUGACUUAAAAUACCUUGAUCUCUCUCACAAUAAUUUGGUUGGUGAUUUCCCAUCUUGGGUGUUACAAAACAACACCAAGCUAGAGGUCUUGUUUUUGACAAACAACUCAUUCACAGGGAAUCUCCAACUGCCCAAUACCAAACACGAUUUUCUUCAUCAUUUAGAUGCUUCUAGCAAUAACUUUAUUGGUAAGCUUCCGCAAGAUAUGGGAACCGUCCUUCAGAAAUUGUGGUUUUUGAAUAUUUCCAACAAUAAUUUUGAAGGCAAUAUUCCUUCUUCAGUUGGUGAGAUGAAAGGACUCAAAUUUCUACACUUGUCAAAAAAUAAUUUUUCAGGAGAAUUAUCAGCAUCAUUUCUCACUGGUUGCAUCUUACUAUUCUUCUUAGACCUAUCUGAUAACAAUUUCUAUGGCCAAAUUUUUUCCAAAUACAUGAACUUGCAUUCGUUGGGGUUCUUAUAUUUGGAGAACAAUAAGUUUAGUGGGAAAAUUGAGGAGGGCCUAUUGAACUCCCCUUAUUUACAGGAGUUAGACAUAUCCCACAAUUUUUUGUCCGGUCAUAUUCCUCACUGGAUGGGUAAUUUCUCAAAUCUUGAGAUUCUUUUGAUGUCCAACAAUUGUUUGGAAGGUAAUAUACCUGUCCAACUCCUCAAUCAUAGAACGCUUGAACUUUUAAGUGUCUCCGAAAAUUAUUUGUCUGGGUCCAUGACAUCUUCCUUCAAUCUUUCUUCACUGAAGCACCUGUAUGCGAAAAAGAAUGCUCUAAGUGGGCCAAUUCCAGAUAUGUUGUUUAGAAGUUCCAAGUUAAUGACUCUAGAUUUGAGAGAUAAUGGAUUCUUUGGUAGAAUUCCCUGUCAGAUUAAUGAUCGCUCAAAUCUUCGUGUUCUUCUUUUGAGAGGGAACAAUCUAGAAGGACAAAUUCCGAAUCAGAUGUGUCAAUUAAAGAGCUUAGGUAUGAUGGAUCUGUCGCAUAACAGAUUCAAUGGAUCAAUACCUUCUUGCUUUACUAAUAUGUUGCAGUGGACUAUCGGAAAUGUUGAUUUGUUUGGAUAUGAACUUUCGGUUUUUCCUAGUUUAGGUUUUGGCACCAUUGGCACUUACUACAACUCUACUCUUGACUUGAGCAUGUCUGAAGGAGAUGUGUAUACAUCCCCUCAGCUAGUAAAAGUAGAAUUUAUGACAAAGAAUAGAUAUGAACUUUACAAUGGUAGCAAUCUUAACUAUAUGGUUGGGCUGGAUUUGUCAUGCAACGAAUUGACUGGAAACGUCCCAUCAGAAAUUGGAGAUCUUAAAAAAAUUCGUGGGUUGAAUUUGUCUCACAAUUGGUUGUCAGGAUCUAUACCAAGGAGUUUUUCCAAUUUGAAAAUGAUAGAGAGCCUAGACCUUUCCAACAACAGAUUGAGUGGACAAAUUCCUGCUCAACUGAUUGAGCUCAAUUUUUUGUCCAACUUCAAUGUGUCGUACAAUAACUUGUCCGGCCUAAUCCCAGACAAAGGCCAAUACUCCACAUUUGAUGAAAGCAGUUAUAGAGAUAACCUCUAUCUUUGUGGUCCAACAAUCAAUAAGAGUUGCAACAGUGCAGAGGAAAUACCGGCAUUAAAAUCCAAAGGAAGAGAAGACAAAGAUGAUUCUGCAAUUGACAUGGUGUCAUUAUAUUGGAGUUUCGGUGCAUCUUAUGUGACAGUGAUAUUGGGGUUGUUUGCAAUCCUAUGGAUAAAUUCAUUUUGGCGCAAACGAUGGUUCUAUUUCAUUGAUGCAUGUAUUGAUUUAUGCUACUAUUGCCUUUACAAAUAUGUACUCAAUCAGUGAUCAUGCUAUAGGCCAUAAGUACUAAUGUAUCAUUCAUCUUUAGCCGUGUUGAUGAAAAAAGUUGAUUUAGAUAAAUUAGACUCAAUUGUCUCUGUGCUAUUGAACUCAUCUUUCAAGUUCUUCACGGUAUUUUCAAAGCCAUCGAUUUGUUUGUCCAAAGACGAGCAUUCUCCCUACAGGAAAAAAGAAAUUAAUUAUAUAAUAAUAAAAAUUCAAACAUAUGUUAAUUACCAAUAUUAAGCUAAAGAGAUAUCACAAAUUUAUUAUCAUCAAAAGGAAGAAUGCCGCAGCCACUGGAUCCAUAAUUGACACUCGAUCUCACUUUUUUUAUUUAUUGUUCAUCCUUUAAACUUAAGCUCGGAGGAGGGUGUGGCAAUCCAAGUACUUGAGCUGUCAUCAACAAAAAAUUAAUCACUACUCAUUAAUGAUUAAUCAUAAUUAUAAUUAAAAAAAAAAAGAUCAAUGUUUCAUUGCAGGAAAAAUUUAACUACUAAUCAUGAAAUUACCAAUAAAGUCUGCCUCAGUUCAACCAUUGGUGAAUCGACCAAUGGCUCUUCCACCAUCAAAAUCAAUUCCAUACGGUGUGUAAUUCGCCCGGGAGACAUGCUUCAAAUGCUGCAGCAAAUCCUUCGGGCUUGUGUUAAAUGGUGGUACCUUGAUAAAUUCUCCAUUGGGUUCAGCCUUCGCUAUUAUUUCAUGCAAGACAAAUAUAAGGCAAUGCACAAGAAGAUAAUUUCCAAAACUUCCUCCAAUAAUUUUUCUUUCUGCUGGUUUUCUUUCACUUUGAUGGGAAUUGUGUCAUCACAUCAGGCACUUAUCUAGAAUUUCGUUUGCAAAUUCUGUUUGUUACCUUAUUGGAGACGAUGUACCAUUAAACUGCGACCACAACAAUAUUUGGCUAUCCCAAAGUUUGUUUUAAACAAACUUUUAAUACUAAACUUGUAAUUGUAAACAAAGAAAUACUAAACUUAUUAGCCGCUUUCAAGUCAUUAGAAAAUAAAUUUUCUUUCUAUUUAGAGACAGUUGUUAACAGUGAUACAUGGUUUCUGUCAAGAUCCAUUUAGGAAUAAAGUCGAGCAAAAUAAAUUCUUUUAGAGAUCACAGCAAACAGGCUUUAAAUCCCUUCUCUAAUUCCUGUCCAUUCAAGUUCUUUCCGAUGAACACAAUCUUGUUUACUCUUGGUUCGUCUGGGCCCCACAUCCGAUCAGGCGAGCCUUGGAAUAUGUCAUGAACACCCUGUCAGACAG